GUGCAGUAUCAAGAUAAUUUGUUUCUAGGGAUAUAGAAAUAUAUUCUAAAUAAGGGAAUGGAUCUAAUCACUGAGAAGCUCCGUGUUUUUCAGAUGAGGAGAAGUGAUAACAGAACAUGGAGAAAUCUUUUGUCCUCUGAGAAACCACGUCUGCUCUUUCACCAAAAGCUAAAACCGCCUGUUCCAGCGAUAGGGACGCACCAAAUCUGUC
Molecule: long non-coding RNA, 211 nt
Filed under: Sorghum bicolor (sorghum)
Lineage: Eukaryota; Viridiplantae; Streptophyta; Magnoliopsida; Poales; Poaceae
Description: long non-coding RNA (SBIC_LNC000468)
Source: RNAcentral